Molecule: ribosomal RNA, 1231 nt
Filed under: seawater metagenome
Description: bacterial LSU rRNA
Rfam family: Bacterial large subunit ribosomal RNA
Source: RNAcentral
GAAAGCGUAAUAGCUCACUAGUCGAGUCGGCCUGCGCGGAAGAUGUAACGGGGCUCAAACUGGAUACCGAAGCUGCGGCUGCAUACUAUGUAUGCGGGGUAGGGGAGCGUUGUGUAAGUCUGUGAAGGUGUGUUGAGAAGCAUGCUGGAGAUAUCACAAGUGCGAAUGCUGACGUGAGUAACGAUAAUGGGAGUGAAAAACUCCCACGCCGAAAGACCAAGGUUUCCUGCGCAACGCUAAUCGGCGCAGGGUGAGUCGGCCCCUAAGGCGAGGCAGAAAUGCGUAGCUGAUGGGAAACAGGUUAAUAUUCCUGUACUUCUUAUAACUGCGAUGGAGAGACGGAGAAGGCUAUGCCUACCGGGCGUUGGUUGUCCCGGGGAAAGGCUGUAGGCUGAGGUGUUAGGCAAAUCCGGCACCUUAAGGCUGAGAGUCGAGACCACUGGUCCUUUGUGACCGGGAAGUGGUUGAUGCCAUGCUUCCAGGAAAAUCUUCUAAGCUUCAGGUUAUAAGGAACCGUACCCCAAACCGACACAGGUGGUUGGGAUGAGUAUUCUAAGGCGCUUGAGAGAACUCGGGUGAAGGAACUAGGCAAAGUGGUACCGUAACUUCGGGAGAAGGUACGCCGCUGACGGUGAUGAGACUUGCUCUCUGAGCUAUCGGCGGUCGCAGUGAAAAGGCCCCUGCAACUGUUUAUUAAAAACACAGCACUCUGCAAACGCGUAAGCGGACGUAUAGGGUGUGACGCCUGCCCGGUGCCGGAAGGUUAAUUGAUGGGGUUAGCUUCGGCGAAGCUCUUGAUCGAAGCCCCGGUAAACGGCGGCCGUAACUAUAACGGUCCUAAGGUAGCGAAAUUCCUUGUCGGGUAAGUUCCGACCUGCACGAAUGGCGUAAUGAUGGGGGCGCUGUCUCCACCCGAGACUCAGUGAAAUCGAAAUCGCAGUGAAGAUGCUGUGUACCCGCGGCUAGACGGAAAGACCCCGUGAACCUUUACUAUAGCUUCACAGUGGACUUUGAACCUGUUUGUGUAGGAUAGCUGGGAGACUUUGAAGCAGUGACGCUAGUCAUUGUGGAGUCGUCCUUGAAAUACCAGCCUGGCAUGUUUGAGGUUCUAACCUGGGUCCCUUAUCGGGAUCGGGGACAUUGUGUGGUGGGUAGUUUGACUGGGGCGGUCUCCUCCCAAAGAGUAACGGAGGAGCACAAAGGUACCCUCAGCACGGUCGGACAUCGUGCA